Molecule: ribosomal RNA, 463 nt
Filed under: uncultured bacterium
Lineage: Bacteria
Description: partial 16S ribosomal RNA
Source: RNAcentral
CACGUAGUUAGCCGACCCUUAUUCGUUAGUUACCGUCAUAUUCUUCACUAACAAAAGACAGUUUACGACCCGAAGGCCUUCAUCCUGCACGCGGCGUUGCUCCAUCAGGCUUUCGCCCAUUGUGGAAGAUUCCUCACUGCUGCCUCCCGUAGGAGUCUGGACCGUGUCUCAGUUCCAGUCUGGCUGAUCAUCCUCUCAGACCAGCUACCGAUCGUCGGCUUGGUGAGCCAUUACCUCACCAACUACCUAAUCGGACGCGGGCUUCUCCUAAAGCGUAUAAAACUUUAAUCCGAAAACCAUAUGCGGUAUUAGACACCGUUUCCGAUGCUUAUCCCUCACUUUAGGGUGAAUUCCCACGCGUUACUCAGCCGUUCGCCGCUCGUGUACCCCGAAGGGCCUUACCGCUCGACUUGCAUGUGUUAGGCACGCCGCCAGCGUUCAUCCUGAGCCAGGAUCAAACUCU